GUAUUAAAUUUUAAAGGCGCUAAAAAGGCCUGUUGAUACAUUCUGUUUCAUACAUCUGGAGUAUAGUAAAAACAUAGAGUUGGAAGACACAAGAGCAGCCGGCUUUGACGCACAGCAGCCCUCAAAUUCCGAGUUUGUAUUCACGGAAAAUGUCUCCAAGUCUACAAAAUGUGCACAGGGGUUUGAAAACUGGGCGGCAGGUGUGCACAUGCCCUGGAGGGGCCAGCAGCAACCUGACCAAGUUUAUUCAUUAAUGAUCCUUCCGCAGGUUCACCUACGGAAA
RNAcentral lists this unclassified non-coding RNA (283 nucleotides) under uncultured fungus. Its description in RNAcentral is "sequence contains ITS1". Lineage: Eukaryota; Fungi. The record is from RNAcentral.